Long non-coding RNA from Pezoporus flaviventris, 5263 nucleotides. RefSeq lists it as uncharacterized. NCBI's taxonomy places the organism in Eukaryota, Metazoa, Chordata, Aves, Psittaciformes, Psittacidae. The transcript is spliced from 2 exons. The record is from RefSeq and is a predicted model, not a curated record.
UCCAUUAGUCACCACCAUAGGAACCAUGUUCCCAGAGACAGAUCCUGGUCCCUAUGCAAAAACAGAUCAGCAAGCUGAUGGAGAGUCAAAAUGGAAAAGGCCCAUGAGAGAAUUAUCACAAUACAACAUCUGGUCUGCAUUGGAAAGAGCAGAGAAAGAUAUUCAACAUCUUGGAGACCAAGAGGCAGCUGUGAGGCACUUUCAAAGUCUGUGAAAAAUCGUGCAGGUUGUGGCCACCUGGGCCAAUAUAGUAUUGUUUUGGGAUGAGCUACUCUGCUUUCUAGAAUCUGGAUUUUAAUCUCACUUCAGUACAGAUACAUGAGAGCUGGGAGUGGUAUGAAAGGUGUUUGCUUUUCAUAAUGUUAAUCUGAAUCCCAGCAUUGUCCUAAUUAUAUUGUGGGGUUUUGCCAGUCUCACAAUUUUCUUUUCAGCGUGUUAGCUAGGAGUCAAAAGGCUUUCUCAGGGCUUUUGGCAUAGCUUUAUAGGAAAAAAGGAUGGAAAGGACUUUGUGUAUUUUUGGAAGAAUAUUUUGCAUCCUGCUUUAAACUAUUCCAGAAGGUUAAAGGACAUUAGCUACACUGCAUAUUGGCUAGGGUACUGGUAUGUCAUUAACGGCAAGUUUUGCUUUGUCUAAUUGUUCAGGUUUCUUCAGUCACAGACUAUGAGAAAUGCAAAGAAAUCAUGGAGCAGCCCAGGCAGUAAGGUUACCACUGGAUUCAGAGGGAACAAAGUCCUUCCACCACAUGAAACUUUGGUCCUUUAAGUCAUCAUAGCUCAUGCAGAACAUAAACAAUUUGACAUGUAUAACAAGAAACACUGCAAAUUGUUUUCCAAACAGGCAUAUACUGCAGAUGGAAGAACUGAUGAAAAUUGUUUAUAAAUGAGGAACUAAAUGUAGAUUUUUCGAGAACAAGGUUGCUCUCUUCCUUGCCAAGACAAACAAAUCUGAUAGAACAUCUCAUUGCUUUAGGCUGCCUGAGGACCCACUGGAAAGUCUAUGGACCUUUCUCCACAGUAAAUUUGUGUGUUGUCAGUACAUAAGCGUAUUGUCCACAGUUGCACUGUGGCAGCUGCAGAGGAAGUGGAAGGUUCUCAAGGAAUACAUGAGGGAGAACUAGAUUUUUGGCUCCUAACACAGUAUGGAGUGCUUUUGGAAGCUGUGGAAGUUUAUGAGCUGAAUGUUACUGCUACAAAAGGUUAUCUGUGAGUUAAGCAUAAUGGUAAUUAAUCUGCUAUCUGUAGAUCUUGACACUGACAACAUGAUGAAAUUGAGAAUUCCUGUUCUUUAGAAUUGCAGUUUUCCAAAAUGCCUUCAUUCCUAUAAUGACAGGAUUGUUAGAGGUUUUCAGUGCACAGAUGUUUUUACAAGGCAGUAUAUAGUCAUCCCAAACAACUGUUUUUAAUGGGACAGUUAUUUAAAAAAGCAUGUAACAAGAGCAUAAAUACAGUCCCUGAUACUAACAUAAAACAUGUAUUAGCAAAAUAAUAUAGUUUUAUUUCCCUCAUACGUAGCAGGCCCUGGAAAUAUAAAACUAAUCAUGUCCUUAAAAUACUGUUAUAGCUGUAAACAUCUGGAAAAGAGGACCAGCAGCAUCCUCAGCUGCAUUAGGAAAAACAUUGCCAGCAGGUCAAAGGAGGUGAAUGUUCUCCUUUACUCAGCACUUGUGAGACUUCAGCAGGAGUAAUGUGCCCACUUUUGGGCUCCCCCCAGCAAGGAGGACAUGGACAUACUGGAGUGACUGCAGGUAAGUCCAUGGAGGUGAUUAAGAGACAAGAGCAUCUGUGAUAUGGUUACCCAAAGAGGCUGUGGAGCUGGCAUCCUUAAAGGUACUCAAAACUCAAUUGGGCAAACUCCUAAGCAGCCUUAUUUGGGUGAUUCUGCUUUGAGCUGGGGGUUGAACUGGAUGGUCUCCAGACGUGCUUCCAACCUCAGUGGUACUGUGAAUAUUUGAAGCAGUUUGCUUAUGUCUGGUCAGCAUUUUAGCUGGAACUUGACUGCAUAGGAAUCCUAAAGAAAGCAAAGUCUGUAACCCUAGAAAUACAUCCAGAUGGCUGAGGCCCAGAAAAGGCAUAAUGAGAGCUGCUAAGUAUUUUGAAUGUCUCCUCAGAGUGAUAUUUCACUUAAAAAUACAAAUAUAGAAGUGACUUGGGUCUUCUUAUCAAUGACAUUGAAUACCCAGUGAUCACUAGUAUGAUCUCUUGUUUCAUCUGGACUGUAAAGGGUAAUAGCUUCUCUCUAUUUUAGUUUAAUCUUGCUCUGGAAAAUCUUACCAUAUACCUUAUUUUAUAAAUGAAUAUUUGAUGCUUUAUGGUGCAGAAUUAAUUUGUUGGUUUGUUACAUGCUUUCUUUCCUUAUUAGUACUGAUAUUAAAAUAUUGCAAUGUGUUUUGACAUAUUACUUCAGUAAUAGGCACAUACUAUGUGUCAAGGACUUGAGAAUGUCAUCAUUUGAUCAAGGUAAAAUCAAAAUAUAUAAUUACAUUGCAUAUUCUAUGGCACUUAGUGUCUAACUAUUCUUACAGCACCUUCAGACAACAAAGAUUAAAUUCAGAAAUGGCUUUCAUAUUUUCAUGACACAAGUUUUAUAUAGCAAGGCAAAAUAAUGUAUUUUUUUAGGUCAGCUGAAUAGUGAUAGGAAGAUUUACCUUUGGUUUUCAUCAUGAAAAUGCCAAGGAACUAACUUGCAGUGUUGAGAAUUCCCAGGUCCUCCUUUUGAAAACUCUUUGUCUUUUGUGUUGCCUCUAGGAAAAAGGGAAAACAUUCUGGAAAACAAGAAAUGAAGGAAUGUUGUACAAUGAAUUAAGAAAUAAAUAGAUUAUAGAGCGCUUAAUUUUAGUUUUCUGCACUCCAGAAAAUGAAACACUAAGAAAUAACCUGUUUCUUUAUUAUCAAUAUAUGGAGUCACACUGGGUUUGGCAGACAACGACAGCAGCUUAUGAAUAGCAACUGUGAUAAUUAUUAGAAGACCAUAAAUUUUGCAGUGGCUGAACUCAUCCUAAAAUCACAAAAUUAAGUCUUCAGACAUAAGUAACAUACGAAGGUCAAAUACACUUAGUCAUAAGUUGCUAUCAUCUGCCAUCACUUUUCCAUGACUUAGUGCUCUUACAGCAAAUCUCCUCUGAUUGCAGUAGACUCUGCGUGGGAUGGGGGUUUUGGUGGGGAGAGUGUUACUUUAAAUUGGCACCUCUAGCAGCAGUUCCUAUUUCUAAUGUUUUCCUUUUAUACAUUUAUAGCCUAUUAUAUCUAUCCAAGCCUGGCAUAGCUCCAAGUCACCCAUUUCUCAGUAAUACAGGAAAUUAAAUCUAAAGUCUAAUAAGCACGGAGGCUUAUGCAACCUUCAUUCGCUGAAAAAAGUAUUAUGUAACUUAAUAAUAUUACCUUGUCUUUUGAUGGCUAGAGAGUUGUGCACUUUGUUUCUCUGUAGACCAAAUAGGUUCUGCAUUUGGACUACAGGAGGCUGGGUUGAUCCAGCAUUUUCUGCAAGCUUUCUGAAUGUCACCUCAAUAUUACUCUCUUGUUGAAGGACUCCCUGAAACUUCCAUGUCUACGGUUUGGCGCCCUUCUUCCACUUCUCCCUGUGGUAGGAACCCAGUCCGUUCCCUGGUGCAAGGCCUGUGUACCCUGUAUUCUUACCCCAGGGGUGCUGAGUGCUCUCACUCAUUCUUCCCCCCGGGAUUUUCUCCAGCCUGACCAGAUUUCUGCCUAUUCUAUCCCAUUUUCUAUUAAUACCCCCUGCAGUUCUGUGUUGGUGGGUGCAGCAUUUGAAAGUGCAGAAAUCUGGCUUGAGACCACGCAGAUUAGCACCAUAAUUUCAGGGUCUUGUCUCCUGCAUGUAUCGGUUUAUUAAGUGGAUUUAUACUGAAUAAUUUUAAACUGUUGCAGCCUUCUGAAACUGUUUCUGUAACACACAGAGUGACAUAAGGUCACCGGUGCUGUGGAAAUUGGUUUUGCAGCUGAUAUGUUAAUUCAGCAAGAGAUGAGUUCUUGCAGAACACGAAGAAAAUGAUUUUAAUAUAGUGCCAUGCUACUUCAUUGGCUUUCAGGAAAGAGGUAAUUAAGACAUUCAAGGGAGAUUCAGGUCUCUGGAGAAAGUACCAUUAUGGAAAUACAAGGUUAUUUUUACUGCACAGCUUAUUAGCUGCUUUUCUAAAAGCAAAUCAACUGAAUGUGGUGGACUCAAAAUAACAUUUUCACCUGCUCAGGAAGAUGAGAGAUAAGGUACUUCUGUAAACUGAGUUCAAUAUAAGACUUGUCACGGUCUCUCCUGUGUCACUCACCCCAGGUUUACAGUAACCACUGCUGCAGUUUUCUGGAUGACAGCUUUCAUCCAAAUACAUCCAGGGCCCUUAAUAUGGCUCUACUAGUGCAACUAAUUGCAAUGAGGAACAGAAUUACAUUCAUGAUGCCUGAGGAGAAGGAGAAUCUCUGCACUCGGUAUGAAUAAGGGGUAGCAAAGGCCUAAUUUUUCAGAAAUAAUUAAGUUAAAUUGAAAAUAAUUUUAAUAGCCAAUCCCAAAGAAAAAUCACCAGGAAUUUAGAAGCCCUGUAUUUUUUCCAAACAGUGCGCUUAUACCAGGGAAUUACUGAGCACCAAAAGUAUAAUAACUGUUAUAUUUACUGUAUGAAGAUACGAAAGGAAAACAAUUUUACCAGCAUAAACUGCUUCAUCUUUUUGAGAUGAAGAAUGAACAAAAUAAAAUUGAGUUUCUAAGAAACAAUUCUAAAAAAUCUCUAUUAUAAAAAUUGUAUUAGAUUUUACAAGGUAUUUUAAUAUUGAGAUAAUAACGGAGAAAAUGGCAUUUUACUCUAUGUUCUUUCAUAAAACAGGUACGAUAGUGCUAUUCCCAGAGGAAAGACACCAGUUCCAACAAGAGUAGUGUCUGUUCUAGAAUUAAGGAUAACUUCUCAAAAUAUCUACAUAAACAAGAAGGUUAAAAAGCUUAAUGUGAAAAUAACAAUCUCUUCUUGAACAGCAUCUACUGUGUCCAGCCUAUUCUGUUUCAGAUGGCCCAGGAGCACAAACAGGUAUGACAUCAUAUCAUUUUACAUCAUUAAUGGAAGUGUUUCCUUUCAAAACUACAAUGUUAUUUUCUGCCCAAGCUUUCUUUCAUUAAUUCCAAAGUUAUUUUGACCCAACCAUCUCUAUGUAUGUUUAGCUAUGUUACCUAAACACGGUUUUCCAGUACUUUCUAGUAUGGACUUUAUACUGAACAAUUUGUUUAAUUGCAUUACAUGACAUUUUAAUAAACUAACUUUCUAAAAAU